RNAcentral lists this ribosomal RNA (252 nucleotides) under uncultured prokaryote. Its description in RNAcentral is "partial 16S ribosomal RNA". It matches the Rfam family "Bacterial small subunit ribosomal RNA", at positions 525 to 775 of the family's 1533-position model. The record is from RNAcentral.
ACGUAGGAGGCGAGCGUUAUCCGGAUUUACUGGGCGUAAAGCGCGUGCAGGCGGUGCGAUAAGUCGUGCGUGAAAGCUCCCAGGCUUAACCGGGCGAGGACGUGCGGAACUGCUGAACUAGAGGCAGGUAGAGGCGUGUGGAAUUCCGGGUGUAGUGGUGAAAUGCGUAGAGAUCCGGAGGAACACCAGAGGCGAAGGCGACACCCUGGGCCGUACCUGACGCUAAGACGCGACAGCACGGGGAGCGAACGG